UUUUUUUCUGUUUCCAUCAAUAACCAAAGGAUGACUUUGGCGUCCAUUAUUUGGUGACAGAGGAAUGUUAAACAAAAUGUUUAGCCUCUUUGAAAGUCAGGACCCCUGCUUGAAUCUUUGCUUCAGUGAAACCAUACUAAGGUUGAUUAAGCACCACUGUCACAUUCAGUAAGAAAAACAGAAACCAUCAGAAAAGUCCUUAGUCACAGUUACACAACAAAAUGUUUCAUAAUGUUUCUGGUUUCAUCUUUUGUUGUUCUUUCUAACUGGAACAGAUCCCGUCUCCCUCACUGGGCCGGAGGGGGAUAUUGAGUUUGUUCUGUGGGUCAAAGGUCACUGAGGGGAGGGGCGAGAUGUGGAUCCUGCAUCUCCUGGUUGUUUCUUCAGAGAUAUUCCAUGAGGUCAGAGAUGAGGUGAUGUUACACAACCGGGAGACAGCUGAGCCAGAGGAGCUCCUGCUGACCUGCUGAUGGACGCUCAAAAUCUGAACUGUAAGCAAGAGACGAAUCAUGAAUGAUCUGAAUUUAUAUGAUGCUAUUUUGAAACAUGUAAUUCACCAAAAACAGGGAAAAUGUGUCUUUUUCUAUUUCAGAGGUACGCUUCAGGCACCAAAACUGCAAUUCUCUAAGUGACCACUGGAGAGUGUCUCUGUAAGGGACUCAAUCUACAUAGAUCUACAUUAAAAAAGGCCCUCUAAAUGCCCUUUCAGUGGAUAAAAUGUCAACAAAGUGCUCUCUGGAUUUCUUUUCAUGGAUAAAUGUAAGUAAAGUGUCCUCUAGCUACCCUUCAAGAGGAUAACAUAUAAACGAAG
This 811-nucleotide long non-coding RNA is filed under the name Xyrichtys novacula (pearly razorfish). The record is from RNAcentral. Lineage: Eukaryota; Metazoa; Chordata; Actinopteri; Labriformes; Labridae.